GUUCAAUAUUUCAAGUGAAAAUCUGCCUGUUCGAAAAGAAAAUAUUCACAAAUGAGCAGUGUAUUAGAAGACAACUGAAUUGCUUCUAAGAAUGGGUCUCACUCUGCCAUCACCCAGGCUGGAGUGUGGUGGCACCAUCAUGGCUCACUGCAGCCUUGAACUCCUGAGCUCAAGUCAUCCUCCCACCUCAGCCUUCCGAGUAGCUGGAACUGCAGGUGUGAGCCACCAUGCCUGGCUGAUUUGUCUUUUUAAAUUUUUUAUAGAGACCGAGUCUCAACUAUAUUGUCCAGGCUGGAAAAGAACUUCUUUCCCUCCAAGUGAUAACCUUUUCCAGACAAGUCAGCUUAAAAACUGACCCAAAGGCCCUGAAGUACACAGUUUUCUUGGAGAAAGAAAAAAAUAAGUGAAAAGGACUUGCUGACUUGCUAAUUCAUUUUGGGGCCUGUGGGUAACAUCAGAAUGGCAAAGCACUUGGGGCUUUUUUCUAAUUUGUAUUUUUUUAAUCUUCUGAGAAAUGACUUUUAUAUGCCAAGAUUCAUUCCAUGAUUAGUUUUUAUGACCAAGUUAUGAACGCUUUUGAAUAUGGGGACCUAGAAUAGAAAUGCUAACCUACCUGCAAGGAGAGCUCUGUGAUUGGCAUCCCCAUCAUGCUGUAACUGACACAAAAUAAACUUAGGGUAAUUGCCGCAUAGUGUAACUUUAAUGUGUGAGCAUACUGUAACAUCUGACAAGCUUCUUGAUCUAGAUCAGCAAUGUGUAACCCAUUCAUUGUUGUCACUCUCAACAAGGCCUUAUGGUCAAACAUCAUCACUCUCACUAAAGAGAUAGUUUACUGAAAUAUACUGAGAUUUUGAAACUGGAGUCAAGAGGUAGCACAC
Molecule: long non-coding RNA, 878 nt
Filed under: Homo sapiens (human)
Lineage: Eukaryota; Metazoa; Chordata; Mammalia; Primates; Hominidae
Description: HSALNT0307376
Source: RNAcentral